UCGGGGCGCACCAGGCGCGAAAACUUUGCAAUACACGAAAGUGUGACAGGGUCAUCCCGAGUGCCGACCGCUGAGGUUGGCUUCUACCCAGUCUAGAAAGCUGGGGGAAUAAGGAGAGGGCAAGUCUGGUGUCAGCCGCCGCGGUAAUACCAGCUCUCCGAGUGGUGUGGACGUUUAUUGGGCCUAAAGCAUCCGUAGCUGGCUGAACAAGUCCCCUGUUAAACCCACCGAUUUAAUCGUUGGUCUGCGGGGGAUACUGCUCGGCUAGGGGACGAGAGAGGCAGACGGUAUUCCCGGGGUAGGGGUGAAAUCCUAUAAUCCCGAGAAGACCACCAGUGGCGAAGGCUGUCUGCUAGAACGCGCCCGACGGUGAGGGAUGAAAGCUGGGGGAGCGAACCGGAUUAGAUACCCGGGUAGUCCCAGCUGUAAACGAUGCAGACUAGGUGUUUGGACGGCCACGUGCCGUUCUAGUGCCGCAGGGAAGCUGUUAAGUCUGCCGCCUGGGGAGUACGAUCGCAAGAUUGAAACUUAAAGGAAUUGGCGGGGGAGCAC
This 552-nucleotide ribosomal RNA is filed under the name uncultured archaeon. Its description in RNAcentral is "bacterial SSU rRNA". It matches the Rfam family "Archaeal small subunit ribosomal RNA", at positions 325 to 879 of the family's 1478-position model. The record is from RNAcentral.